Molecule: ribosomal RNA, 497 nt
Filed under: uncultured bacterium
Lineage: Bacteria
Description: partial 16S ribosomal RNA
Rfam family: Bacterial small subunit ribosomal RNA
Source: RNAcentral
GAUGAACGCUGGCGGCGUGCCUAAUACAUGCAAGUCGAGCGAACAGAUGAGGAGCUUGCUCCUCUGACGUUAGCGGCGGACGGGUGAGUAACACGUGGAUAACCUACCUAUAAGACUGGGAUAACUUCGGGAAACCGGUGCUAAUACCGGAUAAUAUAUUGAACCGCAUGGUUCAAUAGUGAAAGACGGUUUUGCUGUCACUUAUAGAUGGAUCCGCGCCGCAUUAGCUAGUUGGUAAGGUAACGGCUUACCAAGGCAACGAUGCGUAGCCGACCUGAGAGGGUGAUCAGCCACACUGGAACUGAGACACGGUCCAGACUCCUACGGGAGGCAGCAGUAGGGAAUCUUCCGCAAUGGGCGAAAGCCUGACGGAGCAACGCCGCGUGAGUGAUGAAGGUCUUCGGAUCGUAAAACUCUGUUAUUAGGGAAGAACAAAUGUGUAAGUAACUAUGCACGUCUUGACGGUACCUAAUCAGAAAGCCACGGCUAACUACGUG